RNAcentral lists this ribosomal RNA (1491 nucleotides) under Escherichia coli. RNAcentral's name for it is "bacterial SSU rRNA". It matches the Rfam family "Bacterial small subunit ribosomal RNA". The record is from RNAcentral. Lineage: Bacteria; Pseudomonadati; Pseudomonadota; Gammaproteobacteria; Enterobacterales; Enterobacteriaceae.
AGAGUUUGAUCAUGGCUCAGAUUGAACGCUGGCGGCAGGCCUAACACAUGCAAGUCGAACGGUAACAGGAAGAAGCUUGCUUCUUUGCUGACGAGUGGCGGACGGGNGGGAUAACUACUGGAAACGGUAGCUAAUACCGCAUAACGUCGCAAGACCAAAGAGGGGGACCUUCGGGCCUCUUGCCAUCGGAUGUGCCCAGAUGGGAUUAGCUAGUAGGUGGGGUAACGGCUCACCUAGGCGACGAUCCCUAGCUGGUCUGAGAGGAUGACCAGCCACACUGGAACUGAGACACGGUCCAGACUCCUACGGGAGGCAGCAGUGGGGAAUAUUGCACAAUGGGCGCAAGCCUGAUGCAGCCAUGCCGCGUGUAUGAAGAAGGCCUUCGGGUUGUAAAGUACUUUCAGCGGGGAGGAAGGGAGUAAAGUUAAUACCUUUGCUCAUUGACGUUACCCGCAGAAGAAGCACCGGCUAACUCCGUGCCAGCAGCCGCGGUAAUACGGAGGGUGCAAGCGUUAAUCGGAAUUACUGGGCGUAAAGCGCACGCAGGCGGUUUGUUAAGUCAGAUGUGAAAUCCCCGGGCUCAACCUGGGAACUGCAUCUGAUACUGGCAAGCUUGAGUCUCGUAGAGGGGGGGAGAAUUCCAGGUGUAGCGGUGAAAUGCGUAGAGAUCUGGAGGAAUACCGGUGGCGAAGGCGGCCCCCUGGACGAAGACUGACGCUCAGGUGCGAAAGCGUGGGGAGCAAACAGGAUUAGAUCCCCUGGUAGUCCACGCCGUAAACGAUGUCGACUUGGAGGUUGUGCCCUUGAGGCGUGGCUUCCGGAGCUAACGCGUUAAGUCGACCGCCUGGGGAGUACGGCCGCAAGGUUAAAACUCAAAUGAAUUGACGGGGGCCCGCACAAGCGGUGGAGCAUGUGGUUUAAUUCGAUGCAACGCGAAGAACCUUACCUGGUCUUGACAUCCACAGAACUUUCCAGAGAUGGAUUGGUGCCUUCGGGAACUGUGAGACAGGUGCUGCAUGGCUGUCGUCAGCUCGUGUUGUGAAAUGUUGGGUUAAGUCCCGCAACGAGCGCAACCCUUAUCCUUUGUUGCCAGCGGUCCGGCCGGGAACUCAAAGGAGACUGCCAGUGAUAAACUGGAGGAAGGUGGGGAUGACGUCAAGUCAUCAUGGCCCUUACGACCAGGGCUACACACGUGCUACAAUGGCGCAUACAAAGAGAAGCGACCUCGCGAGAGCAAGCGGACCUCAUAAAGUGCGUCGUAGUCCGGAUUGGAGUCUGCAACUCGAUUCCAUGAAGUCGGAAUCGCUAGUAAUCGUGGAUCAGAAUGCCACGGUGAAUACGUUCCCGGGCCUUGUACACACCGCCCGUCACACCAUGGGAGUGGGUUGCAAAAGAAGUAGGUAGCUUAACCUUCGGGAGGGCGCUUACCACUUUGUGAUUCAUGACUGGGGUGAAGUCGUAACAAGGUAACCGUAGGGGAACCUGCGGUUG